This 492-nucleotide ribosomal RNA is filed under the name uncultured bacterium. RNAcentral describes it as "partial 16S ribosomal RNA". It matches the Rfam family "Bacterial small subunit ribosomal RNA", at positions 30 to 507 of the family's 1533-position model. The record is from RNAcentral.
AUUGAACGCUGGCGGCAUGCUUUACACAUGCAAGUCGAACGGUAACAGGCCUUCGGGUGCUGACGAGUGGCGAACGGGUGAGUAAUGCAUCGGAACGUGCCCAGAGGUGGGGGAUAACGCAGCGAAAGCUGUGCUAAUACCGCAUGUGAUCUGAGGAUGAAAGCGGGGGACCAGGCAGCAAUGUUUGGCCUCGCGCCUUUGGAGCGGCCGAUGUCAGAUUAGGUAGUUGGUGGGGUAAAGGCCUACCAAGCCGACGAUCUGUAGCUGGUCUGAGAGGACGACCAGCCACACUGGGACUGAGACACGGCCCAGACUCCUACGGGAGGCAGCAGUGGGGAAUUUUGGACAAUGGGCGCAAGCCUGAUCCAGCAAUGCCGCGUGCGGGAAGAAGGCCUUCGGGUUGUAAACCGCUUUUGUACGGAACGAAAAGGCUCUGGCUAAUACCUGGGGGUGAUGACGGUACCGUAAGAAUAAGCACCGGCUAACUACGUG